RNAcentral lists this long non-coding RNA (2110 nucleotides) under Olea europaea subsp. europaea. The record is from RNAcentral. Lineage: Eukaryota; Viridiplantae; Streptophyta; Magnoliopsida; Lamiales; Oleaceae.
GGGCAUUAAUGAAAUUUACUCCGUCCUGGUAGUCGAAGUCGAACUCAAAAAACCCUAACGACUGGAUCGAGCUUUCACCGCCAUUACUAUAUAUAGCACUUCAACACUAAAACCCUAGUCGCAAAUGCUUCGUCUGCUUUCAUUCAACGUAUACGGCCGCCUUCUAUUUUGUCGUCGGCAAUUAAUUUUCUUCUCCGGUGCUUGUAUGCCAAAAUUUAAAGAUUUACGUUUGCUAAUUUUGCCUAUUUGCUUAGUUCUAGUGUUCUACACUCUCACAUUUGGUUAUACCUUGAUUAUUAGUACUUUUUAUUUCCAUGCGUGAUUUGCUCUUCUGGCUUGGUAACCUGUGUUGCACACUACGUUUUGGGGGUUGUACCUUUGCUUACUGUGCGUAUUUAUUUAGUUCCUGUUGUGCUUGUUAUGGAUAUGAAUACCCCUUUAUUGGCGAGUUUCUCUGUUGUACAUUGAUCUUUAAAUGUUUUGCCUUUCGAAUUAUGUUCAAGUUCCCACUUUUUUCAUUUUUUGGGUGCUCUGAUGAUUUCUUCAAUGCUCCAGAGUUUGUACAUUUCAAAGAUCAUACCUUGCUAAUUAGGGCCAUAUAUCCAAAUCUGUUUACUUGUUUUAUGCAUUGGUUAAUUUGUUUCUGUAAUUAUCACUUGUUCAGAGGUUGCAACUUGCUUAAUUUCCAUUUAUCCCUAUUUAAGUGUUUUCUUGUGACCGAUUAGCAAACCAGGUAAGCUUUAACAUUUAUGUUAAACAUGCUGGAUUUUAUAUUACUUAGGGGUGUUUUCUUGGUAAUUAUUGGUGAUCAAUUAGCCAGUCACAUUAAACAAUUCGAUGUGUGAAUGGUCAGUAACUCACCUAUAUUAGCUCGUGUCUAAUGGCCUGUAAUUCGUGAAUUGUAUACAUAUUCAUACUUGUAUAUGUAUGAUAUGUUUUCACUUUUCAUAUUGGCCAUUGACACUACAUUUCAUCUAUCAUUAAUGCCCAUAUAUCGGAAAUGAUCUCCUAAGCAUCGGUGUAUAGCUUAUGUUAAGCACCGAUGACAUCACACAUCAUUUAAUUGUUGAAUCAUUCAUUCUUGAUGUAUAUGUAUGAUUUUGACCAAAGGAUACUGUCGCAUGUUUGCUCGGUAUUUCUUGUUCAUAUAUAUCUGAAUGCAUUAACUAUAAUGGGUUUACCGAGCUACAACAAGAUAAGCCUUGUGCUUCAGACCCCAUUUGAGAUUCAUUCGGUUUAAAAAGUAAUCAUUCAAUUGGGAAAGGAAAAGGUUGGAGAAAAAUCGUUCGCUGACGCAAUUGUGCGCCCAAAAUACACGCAGGUGUGUGGGGAAAUAAAAAAUAAAAGUAUAUGUUUAGUGGAUUAUCACAUUCUCUGAAACAUGAGCAACUUAUACAACAGUGAAAUAGCUUUGAUCUGUGCAAAUGGUCAGUAAGUACACCUAUUUCAUUAUGUUAGCAGCAUAAAUUCACAGAGAUUGCUAGUUCCUUGAUGAGGCUAUUGCCUACAUUUGGCUUAAAUAUGCCAUUGCAUUUGUUCUCAAUGAUUUUAUUCUUGCCCAGUUGGAACAUGUCUAUUUUUUUUCCAUAAUUUUAAAUUUUGGAUGUCAUUUAAUUUCUUACAGAAUUAUUGUAUGAGAUUCUCCUUUUAAGAUUAAAAAAUCAACGCUUGAGAUUUGGUUAAGAUUGAGUCACUCUUUUGACAUCAGUGCUUUAUUUUGUCCACCGGAUGCUUGUCAUAAUGCAUGUCAUAAAAGUCAAAUGGUGGUGUAUAUAUUUAGAAAAUUAAGUAGUUUGAUUCUAAUGGAGGGAUUGAUUUCUCAGUAUUUACAGGUCUACGGUGAUCAUAUAUACGUUUAUUGAUGUAGAUGAUCUUGCUUAUGAACCUAGCUUAAUGGGGACAAUGAAGGCUUCUAAUCAGAUGCUCUGCCUUUUGUUGUGUUAGAGUUGGUUCUGUGUCCUUUAUAAAUGAUAACUGCAAUUUGUGCAUUUAUUUGUGCCAUAUUAUUAAAUUUUUAUAUCGUCAAAUUAUUAAAUUUUGCUUAACUUGGGUUAAUUUUUGUUUGUUUUAGUAUUUGACCCGUUUUGAAGCAAUUGAAAAGAAAAGAAGG